Molecule: long non-coding RNA, 481 nt
Organism: Hypanus sabinus (Atlantic stingray)
Lineage: Eukaryota; Metazoa; Chordata; Chondrichthyes; Myliobatiformes; Dasyatidae
Exons: 4
Source: RefSeq, a predicted model, not a curated record
CCGAUGGCCGCCGAGCUGUCUGCGAGCCGAAGUCUGAGGUAAAAGGCGGGCAGCUGGGCGGUGCCCCCGCUGCCCAUCUCAAGUUAAAUAAAGCCCCCAACACCGAGACGUUUAGGUCAGCCAUUUUAUACCUGGAAUCAGCAUAGUGAAAUCAUUUUGCACCUCCUCCAUUGCUGGAGUUCAGAGUCCUGUCAACGGCUGGUCCGGGAUCGAUUCCAAAGAUUGAAACUCGAAGGUGGAUUGGGAAUCAGGAAGUUGAAGCCAAAUGACCAAAGACUGCAGUCCUGAGGCAGGAGGACUGUCCCUGUGUAGGAGGGAUGGAGCUAUACCCUCUCUUGAGGGAGGAGUAAACCCUGAGGAGAAAUCCAAAGCUGCAGUCUGUAUGACAAUCCUAUGUUGAGUUCAAUGCUGACUGUGACUGUAUCGGUUUCUGACGUUCCUUUGGAUUCAUCAGCUGCAUGGAGAGAUGGAGUUUGCUGGA